Molecule: ribosomal RNA, 903 nt
Filed under: Salmonella enterica subsp. enterica serovar Infantis
Lineage: Bacteria; Pseudomonadati; Pseudomonadota; Gammaproteobacteria; Enterobacterales; Enterobacteriaceae
Also listed under: 1 other name
Description: partial 23S ribosomal RNA
Rfam family: Bacterial large subunit ribosomal RNA
Source: RNAcentral
GCGCAUGUGCUGUGAGCUCGAUGAGUAGGGCGGGACACGUGGUAUCCUGUCUGAAUAUGGGGGGACCAUCCUCCAAGGCUAAAUACUCCUGACUGACCGAUAGUGAACCAGUACCGUGAGGGAAAGGCGAAAAGAACCCCGGCGAGGGGAGUGAAAAAGAACCUGAAACCGUGUACGUACAAGCAGUGGGAGCCCCACCACCAAAGCAUUCUCUGGUGUUGAAGGCCCUGCAAAGCAGCAUCGCGGUGGCGGAGCGUCGUUUGCGACGCCCAACACACAAAACAAGCGGUGAGUGCUUUGGGGUGGGGUGACUGCGUACCUUUUGUAUAAUGGGUCAGCGACUUAUAUUCUGUAGCAAGGUUAACCGAAUAGGGGAGCCGGAGGGAAACCGAGUCUUAAUUGGGCGUUAAGUUGCAGGGUAUAGACCCGAAACCCGGUGAUCUAGCCAUGGGCAGGUUGAAGGUUGGGUAACACUAACUGGAGGACCGAACCGACUAAUGUUGAAAAAUUAGCGGAUGACCUGUGGCUGGGGGUGAAAGGCCAAUCAAACCGGGAGAUAGCUGGUUCUCCCCGAAAGCUAUUUAGGUAGCGCCUCGUGAAUUCAUCUCCGGGGGUAGAGCACUGUUUCGGCUAGGGGGCCAUCCCGGCUUACCAACCCGAUGCAAACUGCGAAUACCGGAGAAUGUUAUCACGGGAGACACACGGCGGGUGCUAACGUCCGUCGUGAAGAGGGAAACAACCCAGACCGCCAGCUAAGGUCCCAAAGUCAUGGUUAAGUGGGAAACGAUGUGGGAAGGCCCAGACAGCCAGGAUGUUGGCUUAGAAGCAGCCAUCAUUUAAAGAAAGCGUAAUAGCUCACUGGUCGAGUCGGCCUGCGCGGAAGAUGUAACGGGGCUAAACCAU